This 408-nucleotide ribosomal RNA is filed under the name uncultured bacterium. RNAcentral describes it as "bacterial SSU rRNA". It matches the Rfam family "Bacterial small subunit ribosomal RNA", at positions 356 to 773 of the family's 1533-position model. The record is from RNAcentral.
GGGGAAUAUUGCGCAAUGGGCGAAAGCCUGACGCAGCCACGCCGCGUGAGUGAUGAAGGCCUUCGGGUCGUAAAACUCUGUCGGGAGGGACGAAGGGGCAACCCUGACGGUACCUCGCAAGAAAGCACCGGCUAACUCUGUGCCAGCAGCCGCGGUAAUACAGAGGGUGCAAGCGUUGCUCGGAUUUAUUGGGCGUAAAGCGCACGCAGACGGUAUGGAAGGUCGGACGUGAAAUCCCUGGGCUCAACCUAGGAACUGCGUUCGAAACCACCAAACUAGAGUUCGGAAGAGGGAGGCGGAAUUCCUGGUGUAGAGGUGAAAUUCGUAGAUAUCAGGAGGAACACCAGCGGCGAAGGCGGCUUCCUGGUCCGAUACUGACGUUCAGGUGCGAAAGCGUGGGUAGCAAAC